This is a non-coding RNA of Trichechus manatus latirostris (Florida manatee), 6097 nucleotides long. Lineage: Eukaryota; Metazoa; Chordata; Mammalia; Sirenia; Trichechidae. The record is from the annotation of a RefSeq genome assembly.
GUGUGUGUGUUCGUGCACAGAUACAUUGGCCUCUCUCCUCCUGCACUUGACUUUCCUAUAAUGAUGCACUUGCAACUGGACCCCUGGUUCUCAUUCUGACUUUUCUCUAAAUGGGUCUCCUCUUUGCUGUCUGCCCAAAGGUUUCCAUCAUCCCAAUAAGCCACGCCCAGAGCCCAGCGCCCUACCCUUCCCCCUGGCUGUCUGACUUGGUCCCUUUUAACUGUCGGCAGGCACACCCGGCUCACCCACUUCUAGCUUCUGCUCUGUUGCACACACUGUUCUCUCCUUUCUUUUUCUCAACUUUUUCCAAGCCUCACACCCCUGCCCUCUCUAAGAUAUGAUUCUCCUUAAUGGCAGUGAGGUUUGGAUAUUGACUCCUUGCCCGUCUUGAUCUCUUGUACCUUUUUUUCUUCUUUUCUUCUUAUUAUGGAGGAAGAACUGUUCCUCUCUUGGUCCCAAGGAAUAACUUCCUCUUGCCUCUUCUGUUCCUCAAUGAUCUUCUCUCUUCAGCACCAUCAAUAUUCCUUUUCUCACAGAUUUCUUCCCACUGGUUUCCAAGCACAAUCCAACUGACUCAACUCUACCAUUCACUCUCACACCUCCCUUGCUCCUCCACCCUUCAACUUGUCAGACAGGAUCUCUGCCUCUGCUUCUCUUGUUUCCUCUAAUCCAUGAUAUCAGGGCUUUGCUCCGUCUUCCUUUUGCUUGAACUUUUGGUGUCCUUUUAAAUCCUGCUGCCAACAAUUUUUAAUCACUGUCUUCCCUUAACUUCCAAGGCAUCAUCCCAUUUCCCCUCCUACCUCUAGGACUACCUUCUUCCUUUCUCAGGACAUUCUGUCUCCUUUUGCCUAGAAGUGUGGAUUUUCAGCAACUUCUGUUUCUGGAUCUUUGUUCUUUUUCCUUCACUUGUUGCUUUGAAGAUCUCAUCCAUUCCAAACAUUUCAAGUCUUGUUGGUAGUUGCUGUCAAGUUGCCUCCGACCCGUGGUGACCUUAUACGUAACAGAAUGAAACAUAGCCCUGUCCUGCACCAUCUUCAUGAUCUUUUUAUACAUCUGAACCUGUUGUUGCAGCAAUUGUGUCAAGCCAUCUCACUGAGGGUUUCCCUCAUUCUUGCUGACCUUCUACUUUACCAAACAAUGGAGACAUUACAGUGCUAUAAACUUCCCUCUAUGUACUGCUUUAGCUGCAUCCCGCAAAUUCUGAUAUUUUCUAUUUUCAUUCUUAUUUAUUUCAGAAUACUUUCUAAUUUCCCCCUUUGACUUCUUUUUUGACACAUGGCUAAUUUAGAGGUGUACAUUGAGUUUCCAGAUAUUUGGAGAUUUUCCAGUUAUUCAUUUCUAAUUUAAUUCCCCUGUGGAAAGAGAACAUAAUUUGUACUACUUAACUCUUUUGAAAGGAGCCCAGGUGGUGCCAUGUUAAGUGCUUGCUUGCUAACCAAAAGGUCAGUGUUCACACCCACCAGCCACUCUGCAGGGGAAAGAUGUGGCAAGAGAAAGACACGGUAAGAGUAAGAGGCGGCUGCCUGCUUCUACGAAGAUUACAGCCUUGGUAAGUCUAUGCACAGUUCUACUCUGUCAUAUAGGGUCAUUGUGAGUUGGGAUCGACUCGAUGGCAAUGGGUUUCAUUUUUGAGUUUGGAAAAUCUUCUAAAAUAUGUUAAGACUAGUUUUAUAACGCAGAAUGUGGUCUGUCUUGGUGCCUGUAUAUCCUGCUGUUGCUGAAAGGAGUGUUCUAUAAAUUUCAAUUAGGUCAAAUUGGUAGAUAGCAUUGUUCACAUAGUCUAUAUUUGUAUGGAUUAUCUGUCUACUUGUUACAUUAAUUAUCGAGCAUGAGGUGUUGGAAUCUCCCACUAUGAUUGUGAAUAUGUCUAUUUCUUCUUGCAGCUCUAUAGGGUUUUGUUUUAUACAUUUUGAAGCUCUGUUAUUAGAUGUAAAAUGUUAUGUCUGCUCGAUAAAUGGAAUCAACUCAAUGGCAACUGGUUUUUUUUCUUUGUCAUUAUAAAAUAACCCUCUUUAUACUUAGUAAUAUUCUUUGCUCUGAAACUUUGUCUGAUUUCCAGCUUUCAUAUAAUUAGUGCCAAAAACCAAAAACCAAACCCAUUGCUGUUGAGCCAAUUCUGACUCACAGUGUCCCUACAGGACAGAGUGGAAGUGCCCCAUAGGGUUUCCAAGGAGCGGCUGGUGGAUUUGAACUGCUGAUCCUUUGGUUAGCAGCUGAGGUCUUAACCACUUCGCCACCAGGGCUCCACAUAGGCUUAUAUGUCUCUUCUCUCUGCUCUGCAGUGCCAUCUCUAGGGGAAGGAGAUGCACUGCCUGCUAAGCUUGGCGAGGUCCCUGAGCCAACACUGCUGAUGGGCGGCUGCCAGUCAGAUGUCAGAUGACGACGUGGCUCCAUUAAGAGCAAGAACAACUCUCUCCUCCCAGUAGUGCUGUCACCCUCGGCACACCCUCCCUGCACCCCUGUAGGACUGACCCAAUAGAAAUUCCAGGAGCAAAGAGGAGGGAGGGGAGAGCCAGAAAGAAAGGGAGAAAAUGCACUGUGCGUGUGUAUGUGAAUGUGUAGUGCGCCUGGGCUCACUCCUUGCACCUGACGUGCGUCGAUGUUAUAGCGAGUCCUAUGAACAAAUCUGCAAAAACCGAGAUUGAGCAACUGCAGACCGUCACUGGCCUCUUCGCUGGUUAUAGCGACUUCUCACCGCACGUGCUGAGCGCUCACUGAGUGCACAUUCGACACUUGGUUUAUCAUCUCGUAAGUGAACAUUAUGAGAGAAUAAAUGUAGGAAAGCAAAUCGGACACACUCACAAACGCAGUGCCUGCAAAUGCAAACCCCAAAACUGCUGCAGCCAAAACUCUGUCCACAGCGUCAGCUCUGCGUGACGUCACUGAAGCAUCAGCAGCAACACCAGACACACUGCGUCACCAGGUCCUGCAGGAACGGGAAGGGUCAGAGUGCCCCGCUCGCCCCAGGCUCCCUCUCCUGGUAGACCACGCCUCCUGGCGCUCGGAGACACACAAACCACUGCAUGUCGCACCUGCAUCACGCAGUCGUUUUGAAAAUGAAUCCUCAGAAGACAUCGUGGCGGAGGCAGAGCAGAGGAGGUUGGGGGUGGUUGGUGCUGGCUGUUCUCCUGGUGCCUGGGGGUCCUGCAUCUCCUUAGGACAGAAUGACGUCAUCUCACCGCCUAGCAGAUCCCUCCGCAGUUGUUAAGAACGGUGGCUGGCAGUGCAUGCCUGGCCUCGGCCUCCCUCCCCCACCCCCCAUCCCAUUGUCCAUCUUGCAGUCUCUGCUGAAGGUCCGGCUCCCCUGGAACUCAGACAGUGACACUGUAGGGUGUCUGUGGUAGCCAGGCGAAACGCCCCUUUUAGCCUUUUAAUUCUUUUACUUGUGUGAAGUAGGAGCCCUGGUGGCACAGUGGUUAAGUGCUUGGCUGCUAACCAAAAGGCCAGCAGUUCAAAUCCACCAGCAGGUCCUUGGAAACCCUGUGGGGCAGUUUUAACUCUGUCUUAUACAGUCACUGUGAGUCAGAAUAGACUGGUGGCAAUGAGUUUGUGAGGUAAGUAUUAUAAUCCUUCUUUUAAUUUUACAGAUGAGGAAACCGAGGGUCGCAGAAGCCAGCAAAGCAGAGCUAUGAUUAGAGCGCAGACCAAUUCCCUGCCUCCCUCUCCUCUGCCUCCCUCUGGUGAGGCGGAGCAGGCGUGGGCUGCAGAGUGACUGGGACCUGUAAGCAGGGGGUCCUGUGGCCCAUGACCCAAGUCUGCCCGCUGGGGACCAGAGGACGAUGGAGGCUCAGUUGGCCAGGCUUGUCUGAUGCCUUCAUGACUCACCUCUCUGGGCUCUGCUCUGCGUCACCCUUCUGCUCCCAGAGGGAGGCCUGAGCCAGCUCCUAGCUUCAGAGACCCAAUCCCUCUCAUCACCGCCAGGACCAGCUCUCCCAUGUCUGCAGAGGCUCCUGGUGGCCUCUCGGGGGCCCCAGAGAGCAGUCUCCUGUUCACAGGUGAAGUUUCCACUCUGGGACACCAGCACAGCGCAAUCGCAGGAGAGAUGAUGCCGCUGGCGGGGCUGUCCCCAGGGCGAGGGUGAGUCACUGCACUCAGACAGACCUGCCUCAACCCCAGCUCCAGGGACCCGCUCCCCUCGCUCUGGGCUCUGGGCAUCGGAUCUCCCGGAGGGAAGGGCCGGCCACCUGGGGGACGAGGGGAGCUGACUCUAAGGCCACCCUCAACUAUGUCCUGCUCCGUCCUUGCCCUUCUGCUGGGAACUUUCUUAGACGUCGGCGCGCAGACCAUUCUCCAGUGGCCGGUCGUCGAGGUGCGGCAGGUGGGCAGCUCUCUGUCCCUGCAAUGCACCGUGACGGGGACCUCGAACCCCACCCUGUACUGGUACUGGCAGGCCACGGGCGGGGCCCCCCAGCUGCUCUUCUACUCCCUCGAUAUGGACAACAUAAAGGGCGAGGCCCCCAAGCACUUCUCGGCGUUCCGGCCCCGGGACGGCCAGUUCACCCUGAACGCCGACAAGCUCCAGCCGGGAGACUCCGGCGUCUAUCUCUGCGCCUGGGACGCACACUUGCGCAAGCCGGCCGCGCGGCCGCCCAAAAACCCACCUCGAGGCUCACACAUCCCGCAGCGAGCGGCCUCGCUCCGAACUGCAGGGGGUGUCUGUGAUCGGCUUUGACUCCGGUGGUGUGAGGGCCCCCGAAUGGAGCCAGCUGAGAGAGAUCUUGACCAGGUGCUCAGAGAGAAACUUGACCAGGUGCUCAGAGAGAAACUUGACCAGGUCCUCCGAGAGCACAGCCAGGCUUAUGCACGCACAGUCAAGUCUCCAGUGGAGACGUCUAGUCCCUGCUAGAGUCACACUCCAGCCCGCAGAGCGUCUGCGCCUUGCCUACACGCCCUCCUCCCCCAAGUCCUGCCGGUCUACACUGGGUGGUGGGGGAGCCGGGAGCCCCUGCGGCAGGUGCGGAGCGGUGGGGAUGAGGAUGCAGACUCUACCUUAUCGAGCUGGAGAGUCCCCUGCUUCGACUCUCGCUGAGGACAGCAGAAAUUCUGCGCAGCCUUGGUUCCCGGGAAAGGCUGUCCUCGUGGGGCUCCAAGUGAAGUUUUGUUAGUGUCAGAGACACACAUUCAGGCAUUUUGAUGAUUGUUUGAGGGUUCAGGAUUUGGUUUUACCUGCCCUACUGUCUCUCGCCCCUUCCCUUGUCGAGAGAGAGGGAGCAGAGAGGCAGAUGGUGACAAAGGGACGGUGGGACCAAGGAUAAAGAAGAGGGCACGUGUGUGGAACUGCAAAGGCCGAGGGAGGAGAAAGUGCUGGAUGGGAAGGAGGGGGAAGAGACUCCUGUGGAUGGCUGGGGAGGGGUCAUGGUUGCCUUGGCAACCGAGCACCAGCUCCCCGCGCUGCCUCCGCCCCCUCCUUCCUCCCUAGUCCUUGUUCUUAAAAGGGUUUUAUUUUCUAAUGUUCCUCCCUGUCCAGCAGGGGGCACAAGCGGUCUUAAAAUGCUCUCCGUUCCUUAAUCUGGGACCACUGAGACACCUGUUUAUUUCCGGUAUCAUUUACUCUGCAGAGAGAACUGAGGCAUGAAGUGAUCAAGAGGGUCUUCCUCAGGCCCAAAGGCCCUGCUGCACUUGGAGGAUCAGCUACGCGUUAAACAGCUCUCACGUGCUGGGCGCGGUUCAUUGAGGAGGAAAAUGCUGCUUACUCCAGAAGGUGCUGUGCGCCAUCCUCAGCGUGGUGGAGUCAAGCCACUUGGUUGUUACGGCCUUGGGCUAGUUAUUGGAUCUCUCUGGCCCUCAUUUUCCUUGCCUAGAAAACGUCCUCGCUGGAUUAUGUGUAUUAAAUGAGAUGAUGUUUAUGAAGUCCUACUUCAGGGUCUAUGGAGCCUUGGUGGGCUUGGCUGCUAACUGAAAGGUCUGCCCCACCAGCCACUUCACAGGGCAAAGGUGUGGCAGUCUGCUUCCUUAAAGAUGACAGCCUCGGAAGCCCGAUGAGGCAGUUCGGCUUUGUCCUGUCGUUAAGUGCCGUCGAGUCAGUUCCAAGUCAUAGCGACUUUAUGUGCAACAGAACAAAACACUGCCCUGUCCUGCGCCAUCCUCACAAUUGUUA